AGCAGCCGCGGUAAUUCCAGCUCCAAUAGCGUAUAUUAAAGUUGUUGCAGUUAAAAGCUCGUAGUUGAAUUUCGGGAUCAAAGGAUCGGUCAUGCCUUGGUAUGUACUGGUUUUAUUGGUUCUCACCUUCUAAAGAACCAUAAUGUCAUUCAUUUGAUGUUAUGGGGAAUUAGGACUGUUACCUUGAAAAAUUAGAGUGUUUAAAGCAGGCUUACGCUUGAAUACAUUAGCAUGGAAUAAUGAAAUAGGACAUCAGAUUCUAUUUUGUUGGUUUCUAGGAUCGAUGUAAUGAUUAAUAGGGAUAGUUGGGGGCAUUAGUAUUCAAUUGUCAGAGGUGAAAUUCUUGGAUUUAUUGAAGACUAACUACUGCGAAAGCAUUUGCCAAGGAUGUUUUCAUUAAUCAAGAACGAAAGUUAGGGGAUCGAAGAUGAUCAGAUACCGUCGUAGUCUUAACCAUAAACUAUGCCGACUAGGGAUCAGAUGAUGUUAAUUUUUAAUGUACU
This 503-nucleotide unclassified non-coding RNA is filed under the name uncultured Glomus. RNAcentral describes it as "SSU rRNA". It matches the Rfam family "Eukaryotic small subunit ribosomal RNA", at positions 569 to 1078 of the family's 1831-position model. The record is from RNAcentral. Lineage: Eukaryota; Fungi; Glomeromycota; Glomeromycetes; Glomerales; Glomeraceae.